RNAcentral lists this ribosomal RNA (301 nucleotides) under uncultured bacterium. RNAcentral describes it as "partial 16S ribosomal RNA". It matches the Rfam family "Bacterial small subunit ribosomal RNA", at positions 509 to 807 of the family's 1533-position model. The record is from RNAcentral.
CAGUCGCCGCGGGAAUACGGAGGGUGCAAGCGUUAAUCGGAAUUACUGGGCGUAAAGCGCACGCAGGCGGUCUGACAAGUCAGAUGUGAAAUCCCCGGGCUUAACCUGGGAACUGCAUUUGAAACUGUCAGGCUGGAGUCUUGUAGAGGGGGGUGGAAUUCCAGGUGUAGCGGUGAAAUGCGUAGAGAUCUGGAGGAAUACCGGUGGCGAAGGCGGCCCCCUGGACAAAGACUGACGCUCAGGUGCGAAAGCGUGGGGAGCAAACAGGAUUAGAUACCCCAGCAGUCCCUGUCUCUUAUAC